Molecule: long non-coding RNA, 1415 nt
Filed under: Parus major (Great Tit)
Lineage: Eukaryota; Metazoa; Chordata; Aves; Passeriformes; Paridae
Description: lncRNA (ENSPMJG00000014634.1)
Source: RNAcentral
CCGAGGAAGCGCCGGAGAGGACCCGCUGGCGCUAAGGGACACCCACAUCAGCCCGUCCCCGGAAGCCCCGGCUAGGCCAUCGCUGGGGAAGAGGAGAGCCGGAGCCCGGCUCCCAGGAACAGGACUCGCCGCUAAGAAGGGUUUCCACGGCGCUGACUCUGCUUUACGGCCGCCUCUGUGUGGGGGGUCCCCUCCUCCGCCCGAGGGGCGCCGGUGCCCGGCGCGAAGAGGGGCGCAUGGGGCGGCGUUUCAGGAGGCUUUCGGCUGCUCCUUGCUCCCCCGCCGGAUGCUGCCUGAGCCGUUUUGGCUGGUUUUUUUCGCCGGCGAUGAAGGCUCUGUCUUGAAGAUGGACAUGAUCUGGUUUUUAUUCCUGUCUCUGGUGCCGGUAUACAGCAGGGGACAAGGGGUGUACGGUAAGAGACGUUGUCGCUGUUUGCGAAGGAGGGUUGAGGGGUGGGGGGCGAGGGCGCAGACGGCGGCGAUGGGAUCAAAGUUAAAAAGCACCUGCAGGAGAAAGUAAAUUAUGCCGCUGAACCUCGUCUCAGCCUGAGCGGAGAGACUGACGCAGGAAUAGGGCUUCUAGCGCCUGUAGCUACUUCAUACAUUCCUCGCCGUAACCUCUGGCCGCCUCCCAUGUACGAGUCCGCCGAGAUGGCACGCAGGGACUGUCGGUGGGACUGCCGCCUGGCGAGCGACUGGAGCCCCGGCCCCUAUUUCCCCUCUCCCCACCCGCCUCGCAUGGGGUCGCCACGCUGAUGCCGGUGGGGGCGGCUCCGGGAGCACCUUCGAGUUGCAUUUUCUUUGGGGCAGGGGGCGGACGGAGGAUGCCUUCUCGGUGAUGCGCCUGCGGGUUUCCUUGCUCUCAAGAUCACGGACACGGGGAAGCAGGGAGACGGGCAGCCGGGCUGCCCGGUCUCGUUCCCUACGUGUCGGGGGCUGUCCGCUCCCGCCACCGCCACGGCUCCACCCGGCUCGGCGGGGUCAGCUACCUGCUGCUCCCCACGGCCAGCCCCGCCGGGCUCCCCGGGGGGGCGAGGCGAGGCUGGUUUUGUACCUUGUGGAACUUCGCUGCCGAUUUUCUUCUUAAAGUGAUGUAGAUGGGUGGGUGGUGGUCUGUGGCAGAGAUGAUGCCGAGCAGAUUGAUUUCUUUUCUUCGUUUUUUAUUAUUAUUAUUUUUGCAUUUAGGGAGCUUACUUCCUCUCCUUGUUUGCAGGCAAGGUGGCAAAUGGCGAACUCGGGUGGUCUCCUCAUGAGAGGUCUGACUUCCGCAGCCCCUCAGUGCGAGGGCAGAGAUGAGGGAUGACACCCGUGCCGCUGAGCACAAGCCCCGGGUUGAAAGAGCAUCCGGGAUUUACUUUAGCCAGACAUGCAGCCCCCCUUUCCCUCUCACAACUCUCUCUGAAUUCUUGCUUUAC